CAAACAACAACAGUACAAAUUCAAAUUCUCCAGCUCAUUUCUGUGUCUGCUUAUUGCAACAAUAUGUUUAUAUUGAUUAAGCCUCUAAGACUUAUGCAUGAUAGAAAGAAGAUAAUUUGGGUCCUGAAAGGGGCAUAAUGUCAGAAGUAUCUGUGAUUGUAUUGAAAGCUUAACUGUGUUGUGUUUCAUUUUAUUUUAUUCUAUGUGAUACCAUUCAGAUAGUCCUGGACUUCUGGAAAUCUUGCCUUAAACAUUUCUCACAACUGGUAGAUGUUUGUUUGCUCUCUUUUUACUUAAUAAUUAAAUAAUAUUAACAUAAAAGCAGCAAGAGAAACUUAAGUAUGUCUUCAAUAUUUUAAAAAGCUGAAUAAGUAAAGGAAAAGACCUAAAAGCUGAGGCGAAGAAAGAAGUCCAAACUGUGCUGGUUAGUUGGGAUUGGCUAAAAGCUAUAUUUGCAUGUCAUUUCAAAGGUGCUAAUUAGGAAACAUGCUCUUAGAAAUAUUUUCCACAACACUCCUAUGAUUCUAGAUAUUACCUUUUUGAUAAUGUCAAGUAUAUAAAUUACAUUGAACUCCUUGGCUGCAAAGUGAAAACAAGGUCAAGUUCAGCUUGCUUGAACUGCUUGGGACUCAUGUUUAAAUUAUGGUCAUAAAUAUGUGUCAUAAACAGCACAACAAAUGUGCUGUUUAAAUUAUGGUCAUAAAUAUUUUAGAUAUUAAAAAUCUUUCAAAGUAAUAUGUUUCAACAACAAUAGUAAUUCUGUAGAUUUUAAAAAUGGCUUUUUUUUGAACUGUCUCAAUAGCAAAAAAAUUCAGCUGGAGGAAAGCCCUUUGAAAUCCUGAAACCUGCACCAGGUUCAUUUCUGAAAUGAAUGCCAGACAUUCAGAGAUGUUUGACCUUUGUAAGUUCUUCUGGUUCCCUUUUCAGGCUAUAACAGAAGAGAUGCAUUGGCACAUCAAUGAAACAGGAUGCUUGGGCAAACUUGUAUUACCUCAAGAUGCAUCAAACACGAGUAUUGACAUGAGACUUCUGAGAAGUCUGCUGUUAGAUUUUAUCUUUAAUUUCCCAGGCAGAGCUGCAGGCUGAAAUUCUGACUGUAUUGUAAGUCACCAGUGUAAGCUGUUGAUACUUGUUGGUUAUGAGGUUAUUCAAUGCAUUCAAACUUACACGUUUACUUUAGGUGUGGUGAAACUGUAUUCUCCUUUUUCCAUUAAUUGUACAGUACUACUGUAGAAUUAUAUGUUUCUAUGAUUGCUGGAGAACAUCUUCAUUUGUUUACAACUUACUUGAAAUGAACCUUACAUUUGACUUAAUCCACUCUGUAAGAAUUGCUCAUGCCAUAUUCCAACAAGAAGGAAACUGAAGACUGUGCAUAUUAUUUAUCUGGAAGGGAUAAAAUGCAUUAUCUAUCAAGCUGUAACUUUUCAAUCUAUUUAUUUAUUUACUUAUUUUAAGUCAAGAGGUAAGUCCACAACUGCAGGGAGAGACAUCUGCAUGUUGAACCUGACAUACCAAGAGAUCAUACUGCACAUUGGUAGUAGCUGAAAUGACACAUGAUGUACCAACUAGCUUUUAUGUGAAAGGUACAUAGCAUUGCUAAAAAGAGUUAGUGUGCAUUUAUCUGGAAUAACAUAUGGCUUCAGAGCUGGAUCUCACACUACUGGUUUUUGCCUCUACCUGCACCUGUGUGAUCUAGCAGGAAUUAGCAUACAAAGAAACCUUUCAGUCCUGUUCCUAUGAGGCAGUUAAUAAAUGCAGCUUCUCAGAUUUACA
Molecule: long non-coding RNA, 1773 nt
Organism: Anser brachyrhynchus (Pink-footed goose)
Lineage: Eukaryota; Metazoa; Chordata; Aves; Anseriformes; Anatidae
Source: Ensembl